AUCUGAUCCAGAUGACCUCACGCAGCCGCGCCCGUCCUCCUUCCCCAUUGCCCCUCCUCUCGAGCCACCGGCUGGCGCUCUCCCUUCGCCGGAAGAGCCUCCCCCUCCUCCUCCGGAAGCUAUUUGUGGCCCAGUUGUUCGGAGAUGGAUUUACCGGCUCGAUCGAGGAGCGGCGGGGGUAGAAGUGCAAGGCGAGGAGUGCUUGAUGCGAAGCGCUCAUAACAGCCACGCGCGUCUGCCUUUACUGGUGAGCGCAUCAAGGUUUGCCACCAACUGCUCUCCUUUUAUUCAGAGGAUGAGAGGAACACUGCUGAUUAGAUACUCCCGUUAAAAGUUCCCAACCGGACACUAGGUUUUGAAUCUUAAAUGAUGGCUGCUUGAUAAUUUGUCCAAGUUGAGAUCCACCACUGACGACAAGAGUUUGCUACCCUGCUCCUAUGAAGGUAGCCGAAGGCCUGCACCUCCCACCGUUCCAAUUUUUUCGGUUGAAUCAAGUGUCAAUUAAUGAGAUGGAUGUGUUGUUCAUGCUCUUUGAGAAGGCCAGCCGCUCCAGACGACAGUGAACUCAUCCAACUGAUUUUGUAGGAUACACGCUGAAUGCGUUGCUCGCCUGUCACUCCUUCGCUAGGAGGGGCGUAACAUGCUACUCGCUCCGAUGCUCCAGGUUGAAGCGGCGAUGGCGGUUGUAGCGUGACUGACGGCAUCAGCAACAAGCAGUUACUCAUCUUUGCAUCAGCAACAGAUGGAUUAUGGAAUUGUUUCAAUCUGGAUAUUUCGCUUGGAAAAAAUUGUCACGUACACUACCAGAAGGGUGAGAGUGAAUUUCAAUAGGCUUAUGACAAAGGAAUGCCCAAAUCAAAGUUCUGGGAGCCUACAUAUGAAGAUUGCUUAAAUAUGAUUGAUGUACCACAGGUACUCCCCCG
Molecule: long non-coding RNA, 923 nt
Organism: Triticum dicoccoides
Lineage: Eukaryota; Viridiplantae; Streptophyta; Magnoliopsida; Poales; Poaceae
Exons: 7
Source: RefSeq, a predicted model, not a curated record